Molecule: ribosomal RNA, 222 nt
Filed under: uncultured bacterium
Lineage: Bacteria
Description: partial 16S ribosomal RNA
Rfam family: Bacterial small subunit ribosomal RNA
Source: RNAcentral
AGUAAUGUCUGGGAAACUGCCUGAUGGAGGGGGAUAACUGCUGGAAACGGUAGCUAAUACCGCAUAACGUCGCAAGACCAAAGAGGGGGACCUUCGGGCCUCUUGCCAUCGGAUGUGCCCAGAUGGGAUUAGCUAGUAGGUGGGGUAACGGCUCACCUAGGCGACGAUCCCUAGCUGGUCUGAGAGGAUGGCCAGCCACACUGGAACUGAGACACAGUCCAG